GAUAUUUAGUAUUAAAUAUUGACAUAGAAAUGUAUUCAUUUUGAUGAAAUAUAAGACUGCAUGUAAAAUACGAAAUGUAAUUGUGAUCGUCAUUGAAUUUGAAAAAAAAAAAACAACAAAAAACUAUAAAAUGUUGAGAAAACUUGCAAUCAUUUCUAUGUUCAAGACCGUUAACGAACACAAUCUACAAAACGUGACACUACAAAUCUUAUUUCAUUAUAUUCAGGAAGAUAAAUAUUGUUUAAAUAAAUGUCGGGUUUUGUGUAAAUCUUUUAUAGCCUCUGACCAGGAAGUUGAUAAUUGAGCAAGAUGAGAAUUCUAACCAGAAUCUAGUAUAUAUCAACACUUUUAUAUGGAGUUAGUAACUGACAUAAUUAAUUAAUCAACGGAGGAGAAAUAACUUAUACUUCAGAUGAAGGUUAUUCACGCCUUGAGAUACGACCAAAACCACGGUAGAACCUUCUUUUUGGAUAAAUCUCAACCUUGGUUUGGAUUGGCUUUAUCCGCAGCUCGAUAGAAUCACUUCAUUUUUGCUUUUAUCAGAUGAAUGCCACUGGAACUAUCAAACCACAAUGAAUACCACAAAUGUCAAUACAGAUGGUCGAACAAUUAUGACGGCAUUAACCACGGAUCUUCCUGAACAUUCAAACAAUGGUGUCAAUAUCACCCUUGUUGUUAUAGUAACUGUUUCCCUAACUAUUCUUUCACUAAGUUGCGGAGGCUUUGUCUACUACAUUAUAAAAAAGCGAAGAAAUAUCAAGUUGAUCAAUUACAAACAAGGAAUAGGGAAAGGAGCAGAAAACAGAAGCUUUAGUGGUGACCUUGGAAGGAUUUCUGGACUCUCUGCGACUCAAGAUACACCAAGCACUAGGGAAUCUGGUGCAUACAAGUCAUACGAUGCUAUUACUGUUGAUCUAAAAGAUAUAGAGAAACGGCGUGAUCUUUCUAAAGAGACAUUGGCCAGUGAGCGACAGUCAAAAGAGAGCUCAAAAUCUGGAGCUUACAUGUCGUUUGACGAUUUAGAGCAUGUUAUUCCAGACAUGCGCAACCCAGUUGACGAUUUUACAGGUAUAACAACUCGUAUGAGUAAUUACUGUGACUUUAUAGUACCAGAAGAGACAGUGAGCGAUACAGAGAACAGACACACAGACAGACGAUCGUUUCACAAUCAACUAAAAGGAAGUCGGCCAAAUAGUCGAAUAAAUGUUGGUAAAACUAAAACGUACAGUUUAGGAAAAAGUAGAGAGUCAGAAAUACCUGAACAUACUGAUCUUGCAAUAUACAAUCCGGCCUUCUCACAGAUGGAAAAAACAAAACCUGUAGAUAGAACAACUACCUCAUCUAUCACUGAAAAAACAAUAUCGACAAAUUGAUACAUAUCAAACAAGCGCUGUAACAACCUGCCCCGUGUAUCAACUAGCCCCGGUCUCCCCUACUUCCACUUAGAUUUUUGUAUUUUUUAACAAAAUAGUAUAAAAGCUAUAGGAAAAGGUACACACUUUUCAUCUAUUUCUUUCCUUGAGCGAGAAAAUGAAAAUUGAACUAGAAAUAAAAACGUUUACAUACAAGUAUCGAAAAUUUGAACAAAAAAGUGGAAGUUCUUCAUAUAAAGUGCUCGGCUAUGUACUAGAAAUUGAGCUUUAUUCAACAAAUUCUUACAGUCCCUGAGUUACCAUAGCCCGCCCCAAAACGAUUUAUCUAAGGUAUAUUUUGCCGCGUGUUUGCCAAUUUUAAAAUUAAAAUUAUGAAGUGAAAAAUAUGUUCCUGUUGCAACAUUACUUUCUCCAAGGAUAGAACAAUUUCCGAAUAUUUCCAUAUACAUGUAUAACGAAAUAUUUCGGGAAAAGUUUAGUCUUGCUUAAUAAACGCAUGAUUGUAUGCACGUUGCAAUUUUAAUAAUAAAACCGAUUUAUCAGUAAAAGAGAGAUGGAGCUUCAUUUCAUAUUACACGAGGAGCUAGUUUAAAAUCGGUAUUGUUAUAUAACUAUGAACCUUUAAUGUAUUUGAUAAUUAUAAUAUAUUUCAAUCAACUUUAUCUCUGCUAGCAGCACUUUAAUACAUACGAUUAAGGACAAUGAAAGAAAGAAAAAAAAACGACAAAAACAUAACAAAAGUGUCAAAUGCAGAGAAAUAGAAAAAGUGGAAUAAUCUACAGGUCGCCCAACAUGUCAAAAAUUGAGCCUGAUCGUGGGCGUUAAUGGUCUAGUGGAAUAUGUAUUCUACCGUCCACUGCUCUUUUACCUUGCUUUCUGUGUAAUAAGCAAAUAGCAAGCUUAAAACCAGUGUUUGGUGUUGAUUAAAUGCCGAGGUAUGCCAUGUAUGCCAGGUAUAUUAAGUUUCGAUAUGGAUUACAGCUACAAGUCAUUGAAUAUUAAAUUUAUAUCCAAAUGAGGCUAGAUAUUCAGAACAUAUAGAAUAGACGGUUGUGGAAGAAAAUAAUCUAAAUCAAAACCACGGCUCCUCUCACAAAUAGGUAUAACUGUUUCAAUUGUUGUGUUUAUUAAAUUUGCCCUUUGCUUUCUUUGCUUUAUUGCCUGCUAUAUAUGCUAUUUUCCAUCUUUUUUAAAAGUGACUGCGGAUAGUGUAGAGAAUCAGGUCAAGGCCCAGGUUGCUCAGUUCUGGUUACUAGUAUGCUGAACAGUAUGUGUAAAACGGGUAGCUGACUAGAUUUUACCAAAAACAAAAACAAAACAAAAACUAACAUUGGUGGCGCGGAUCAAGGCUUGAGAUAAGUAACUGUAUUAAUUGGCAUGUUUUGUAAAAUCACAAAGGAAAUAAGAUUUUUAAAUAUGAUUUUUUUUCACAGAAGGCUAAGUCUGAUCAACGUUUGUUAGUGUCCACUAGGCUUCGUUUCUUUCGACAAAUUUCAAAAAGAAAUCAUACAUCGAAUACGUAUAUACCAUACACCACUUUCACAUUUAUACUUGAACAGAAGUUUUGUCAAAAAUGUAAAAUGAGCCACACUUUAUACAGUUUUGAUUCUUUUGAUGAAAUGACAAAAAUUUAGAUUUUAUAGCGACUUCAUAGUUUUGAACGGUAGAGGGUGACCCAAGGUACAACUCACGGGGUAACAGAGUAAAACCAGAACCACCAACCUCUAUAAGCAGCUGGUUGGCUACCAUAUAUGGCAAAAUACUACAAUCUUUGUGGCGUUUAGAAUGCACACACGUCAACGACCUUAACCACUUGGCUUAGUGGAAUAUUUGAAUAUCGUCUGGUAAAUGUUUCAGUGUUGUGACCAACAGAUAAUAACUAGAUAAGUGAAAAUAGGUAUUAAGUUUGAAAAAUCCCAUGUAAGCAUUUCAGACGAACAACUUGCGGACUACCAAGGGGAACUGGUACAAAAAAACGACCUUUAACUAACAAAGAUGAAACAAUCAAACCGAUCCUGCAAUAGUUUCAUAUUAUUGUGUUGGACGACCUGUGGAUUUCCACUUUUCUAUUUCAGUUGAAACGUAUCGCUUUAAAUAGUAAAUUAAACAAUGAAUAUCAUAUAUGAGGAAGAUAAAUUUUGUUGACAUUGUUUACGGGUAUGUUUUAGUGAUUGACGUUAUUAGCUUUUUAUUUGUGGUGUCGUCUGCAGCAACUCAUAUCCAAGUUUGUGCCAGCCAGUGUGCCAGCGCAUGCGUUGGCGGAUGUGACGUAUUGACACGAGCUUGUUACAACUGCACGAGCAACAGAUACGAUCAAUUCUGCGAUGGCGUUUGCAGCGAAUUCUGUAACUACUCGUGCGAUAGGUACACAGGAAAUUGUGACUCAUGUAAAACAGGCAGAUAUGCAUCUUGGUGUUUUGAGUCUUGCAGCGAGGGCUGCAGUUCAGGGUGCGACAUGGAAACCGGAAACUGCGCUCUGUGUAAGACCGGCUGGUAUGGUGUUUGGUGUAAUGUGCGCUGUCCUGACGGAUGCAAUGGCGAAUGCAACAGAAUAACCGGCAAUUGUUUACGCUGUAAAUACGGACUCUACGGACGCCAUUGCAAUGUAGCUUGUCUUGAAACAGAUUACUCACAGGGAUGUGACCAAUACUAUGGCACAUGUGUAGUUUGUCCGGCUGGUUUUUAUGGCAACGCAUGUGAUAUCAAAUGUAGCACCAAUUGUAAGCAGUCAAAGUGUGAUUCCUCGAACGGUAAUUGCAUUGAUUGUAAGCAAGGGUAUUUUGGAUCAAACUGUAAACAAUCCUGUUCAGAACAUUGCAACGGAACCUGCAACUUUCAUACCGGAAGUUGUUUUUCAUGUAAGAAUGGGUAUUAUGGUGAGCACUGUGCUUCAUCUUGUCCAAAGCAUUGCAAUGGUCCAUGCAGCAAGAAUGGGACAUGUGUCACGUGUGUGAAUGGCUACUACGGUGAAGGAUGUCAGUAUACUUGUUCACAUCAUUGCCUCACAUCAUGUCAACAACACACAGGACAAUGUUACGUCUGCGAAGAUGGUUACUGGGAUUCAUUUUGCAACAAAACGUGCGGAAGCAAUUGUGUCGGACCAUGUCACAAGAACACCAGCCUCUGUAUCACAUGUGUACCAGGAUGGUACGGGCGUUUCUGUGAAAAUCUAUGCCCGAACACGUGUGAGAAUACUUCUUGCUUACCAACUGGAACUUGUUUAUGAUGUAGAAACGGGUUCUAUGGACAACGUUGCGAAAUGAGGUGUCAUAAUUGUAAAGGUGAUAUAUGCAGACAGCUAGAUGGUAUUUGUUUAUUUGGUUGUGUAAAUGGUUCCGAAUGUGAAGAUGGAUUUUCCACCACAUUAAAAAGAUCAAGCAUUGUAACCACAAAAUUUGACAUCAUUUCCUCUACGUUCUUUCCUACCAAGUUCACUACAAACGACCAAACAUUUACAACUAAGACGACUACAGAAGUUUCAGUAAAAUCAGAAGAUGGUGACGGAAGAACGUUGAUUGUAAUAAUCAUAAUCGUAGUAGUGGCGAUUCUUGUAUUGUGCUUCGGUAUUGUAAUAUACUGUAUUCGUCAGAAAAAAAUGCGUCCUAAAUCUGACGAUGGAACAGCAGAACAACAUGAAUACACAAAUGUGUAUGCGGAGAUAGACAAUGUAGGACCGUCGCAUGAAUAUGAAGGCCUUGAAACUGAAUACGACGAUAUAGAAACUAUUUUGGAAAAUAUGCAUCCUACUGGACCCCUGUACCAAGUGAAUGAGACGGAAAGAGCAUCCGCGAGUGAAAUCAACAACGAACCAGUUGGAAGUUAUGAACAGCCUCAAGAUCAGAAUUGUAACGAUAACACAGAGGUUAAAAUUCCCUUGGAGAACGUUGAAAAUUCUGAAUCACAAACAAAUGUUCCCGCGGUCACAGAGGAAACAGGUCUAGCUACAAAUGGAAAUCCGUCUUACAUUGCUGAAUACAAUACUAGCGGCACCUCAUCUAGUUCUGGGUAUACUCGAGCGUUUUCUGCCGCCUCCCUACCUCAGACAGAUACAGACGUUGAAAUAUCUGACUAUGUUAACAGAAAAUCAUUUUCUCACCAAAGAACAGGAAGACAGUCCGAUGUGGAGAGUGAAAGUUACUGUGUUGUCGAAAAACCAACACAUCCGGCUACGAAAGGGAAUACAGAAAUAGAGAGAGGGUCGCAGUACUCCGCUUACGCUGAUGGCAAUUGAUCCUGAUAUUGUCCACACAUAGCCUGGUAAUUGAUCCUGAUAUUGUCCACACAUAGCCUGGUAAUUGAUCCUGAUAUUGUCCACACAUAGCCUGGUAAUUGAUCCUGAUAUUGUCCACACAUAGCCUGGUUAUAUUACUUUAGAUAAUUGUCAAAACCUUACACUUAUUCCAGCAUAAGGUUAAUUUGAUGAUUUAUAAUCUUUAGUCACUUAUACAAUACAGGAGAAAAACGUCCUCAAAAGAAAUCUUGAGUCAAACUUUAAAAAUCGGAUAGUACUCGUAUUUAGAUUUUAAUUAAACAAAGUAUUGCAAAUUUAUCUAAACUAAAAUCAGUAUGAUAUCAUUUCUUUAUUCACAUGCAUGCAUUACAUGCAUUACAUAAUAAAGCAGUUCAAGAAGCCUUUUUAUAUAAAAAAUUGCCGUAACUGUUUAUGAAUUUCAAGCAAAUAUUUAAGCACCCCACCCACCUGCAGUAACAUUGUGAUUACAUUUUUGUUUUACGAAUCCCCUAAAAUGACUGCUUCUUGUUUCUGACUGAGUAACACAUGCCGCUUUUAACUCCAAUACCGACAAGUUUGUUUAAAUAUGAGGGCUGUUAAAAAAUAGCGUAGACUUUUGCUGUCAAUGGCCGUCUAUUGCAAUGUGAGAUAUAUGAUUGUAAUUCUCAAUCUUUGUGCAAUUUUGUCAUAUAUUUAUGAUGCAGUUUUGCUUAUAGGCGAAGUUCGUAGAAGGUUUUAAUAACCAUAGCUACGCAUAACCGGCGAAGUCGCUUUUUCGUGUGUAGGCGACAUGCACCGAAAGUAUGGCGUCAGUCGGACGUGGGUAGCUGAAUGUAAACAAUAUCUAAACUAUGUGAACCUUUUUGUUAUAACACAAGUAAUGUCGACACCGCAACAAUGUUCACAUCUGUGUCGUGGUCUUUAGGUGGUAUAGACAAUCAGCAAAUGACACAGAAUUGCUAGAAGUAUGAAUAUGUAAGUUUCGUUAGAAAUUCUAUGUUAUGAAUCUGAAUCUUGACACUCAUGUUCUGAAUUUUUACACCCCAAAACUUUUUGACAAAGAUGGUAAAAUACUAAACUUAGUCUACCAGUACUUGCUAGAAAUGUUAAAAUACCCUUUUUCUCCGAUAUUUAAGGCAAACAUUAAUCCAUUAGUAUAAUAUACAUUUCCUUACAUACUACGUAAUCCACACCAACAUGUUUAUGUCCCAUAAGGUUAAAAUCAUCAGCCUAACAAGAGAUUGGUGAAUUGUCAAUCACAUGUCUUAAAAUGAUAAGUAUGUUCUAAAUAUUUUGCUGAACAAAUUUUGCAACAUAUGCGUAUCACUCUGGACUUUCUAAUAGUAUACAUGUUACCAGGGUAUGAGAGAAGAGAAGCAAAGCUCGCUUCUAAUGGUGAGCGCCAAGCAAGACACCGACGACUCCAGCUCUUGAAGCCGGCGCUUCAGAUCGCUUCACAGCAGUUUAAUCUUUAGCCUGCAAAAUUUCUAAAAUGGACUAGUCCAUCAUUCAAUUUUGGCAAAACCAUUUUUUUUGAAUUUCAGCCCACAAGGGGCCCAUUUAUUAUCCCCGUCCAUGAUGUGAUGGGGUCGGGGAUCCAUCCCGCAUCACAUCUUACAGACAUAAUAUAACCAUAGAUAUAAGUUAAACAAAUUUCAGAGCAUAGUAUAUACUUAGUGUAGUAACAUUGUUAUCAAACUAUUCAAUACCUAGUUCACAAUGAUUCAUAAAUCAGUUUAACAACUACAAUACCUAGUUCACAUAGGUUAAUCAAUAUAUUUAAUGCCUUGUUCAAAAGGAUUAAUCUUACAAAAUAGUUCUAAAAAUGUUCAAUCCUAGAAACAGGGGAUUUUUUAAUAGAGAGAGAGGUAUUAUCAAGCAGCUUAUUUAUCUUUCAUAAAACAGACCAAAAUGUAUGUCAAUGUGUAAUUUUAAACCAGUCUUAUUAUUUCUCUUAGUCUAUAAGUCUCUCAUUAGAGAACAAGAGGUCCCAAACAGAGAGAGAAAAGGAAAAAAGGGCCUCUGCCAAGAAAAAAGAAAGAAAAAAAGUACAAAAGGCCUAAGUGUGAACCAAACUGUCUUACUUCCUUAUUCAGUGUCUACAGGGUUCCAAGAAAAGAAAAAAAGGUUUAAAAGUAGGUAUCUCAAGCAACUAUAUAGUCAUUGCAUGUAGAUUCGAGGAUUUUAGGAGACAGUUUAAAAAUAAGAGACAAAGUGGAAGUCGGACCCCUGUUUAUACUUAUACAUAUAUAUAUAUAUAUAUAUAUAAUAUAUUGUAUAAAAUUGAUGAUUUUCCAAGAAAAGACACUCUGCCUGUGGACUGUCCAGAGGGUUACUUAUACACACAAAAGACAAAACAAAACACAAAACUCAACUAAGUGUCAGCAAGAGAAAAAUCCAAAACUAUUUGCCUGUAACAGUUGCUCAAAGAUAUCAUUUUUCUUUUAUUAUCAAUGUAAAUCAAACCCAUAACCUCUUUAAACUGAAAUUAUAAAGGAUUGCCAUCGGUGCAGAGCCAGGCCGUUCUGCGCCGCAGUGCAGCCUGAUCAGGAUCUGCACCUCGGGCUGCUAAAAUUGCAUUUUUAUCGUGAUGGUCCGUAGAUUUUGACAUGAACUGCUCUAAAAAUCAAGGAUGGACCGACCUAAUCUAACUUCAGCAUGGUAAUUGGAGGUUAAACAAAAUCAAUGUUUAACUGUUGCUGAAAGAUAAAUUUUACUUAUAAUACAGUAUGUUUAUUCUAUUAAUUUUUUUAAUUUUCCCCAGUCUGUUUGAAAUUUUGUCAAGUUAAGUACUUGAGAGGCUGUAUAUUUUUCGGUCUGGUAAAACAAAAGUAUUUGUCUUUUGAACACUUCUAAUUAUGGUAUUUGACCCUUAACUCUAUUAUAGUGUAAAAACUGCUUGGCUGAAAGAAGUAACAUAUUCAUUAUUCUGUCAUAUUUGUCACUGCCAAAUAAUAUAUCUGAGGCACUCAAUUCUACUAUGUUUGUAUUACAACUACUAUUUAUAUAUGUCAAUAAAUGUAACCAGAAUUUUUUGAUUACAUCACAUUUCCAAAAAAGAUGAAUUAAAGUUUCUUGCUCGUUUCUACAGGAGCUACAUGUCUCAUCCUGAGAAAUGUUCAUUUUUUCAAUAGAUGGUUUGUAGCUAAUAUCCUAUGAUUAAUUCUAUACUGCAGCCAGUGAAGUUUAGGGUCUUUGGUAAUCCUGAAAACUCUGUCAUAUUUUAUUUCAUCAAGCACAAUACCUAUAUUGUUAUAAAAAUCAUCUUUCCAUUUUUGCAGUGAUUUUGGAAACUCCUCUUUUGAUCUAAAAUAUUUGUAAAUAUUUUUACAUCCUUUACUGUCUUUUGUAAUAAUUGACAGACAGGUAGGCAUGACUGGAUUGCAAGUUUUUCGUAUAUUAUGAACACCCUUACUUUCCAAAAAAUGUCUAAUUGAUGCGAUAAGGCCAUUAUACUCAAGACAGUUUGUUCUAGCAUUAAAAGUAUUGCAAAAUUCUCUAUAUGUGUAAAACUCAUCUUGUGCAUUAAGUAGAUCACCUAUAAAAAUAACUCCAGCUGUCUGCUAUUUUUUAUAAAAAAUACUAGAGCCUCCAACCCUUAUAUCUGGAUUGUUCCAUAAAUUUAUUAAGGCGUAUGCUUUUCCAGUGGUAGGGAUUACCUUACACGAGAGAAUGUGAUAACUAUGUAUCACAUCUCUCCAAAAAGGGUUUAAAUCUUGGUGUAAAAGUCUUUUGGUAAAAUCUGUUCCAUUUAUAUAAAUAUAUUUUAAAGCAGGACAAAUAAAUUCUACUAAAUUACUAAAUUUAUUAUUCAUUGUUAGAAGUCUUCUAACCCAUGUUGCUUUUAAACUAUGCAUGAAACUUUUCAGGUCAAUCAUUUUGAGUCCUCCAAAUCUAUAUUCUUGAGAAAUUAUGUUUCUUUUAACUUUAUCAUUGCCAUUAUUCCGUAAAAAUUUAUAAAACAUAUUUUGUAAAAGAGUAAUUUUUUCUUGUGAGGGGUUUGGAAUCCCUAAUAUCAAAUGGUUAAGUUUUGCUUAGGCUAGGCUCUAAAUAACUACUAGUUUACCCAUAGGUGAGAUAACACUUUUUGACCAGCUUGACAGUUUUGAUUUCUUCAAUUUUUCCAUUCUAGUUUAAGUUAACUAUCUCAUUAAGAUUUAUGGAAAAUUUUACGCCCAGUAAUGUGAACUCAUUACUUCCCCAAGAGAGAUUGAACUCAGGGCACAUUACCAGUUGACUGUUUCUCCGAGAACCAAACCAUAUGACUUUUGUUCUAUCAGUAUUAAUAUUAAGGCCUGAUAUCUUUCCAUAGAAUUUUAAAACUAACAUUGUAUUAAAAAGGGACUCUUUAGAUCCAUUAAGUGUAAGACUUGUAUCAUCUGCAUAUUGUGAAAUUAAAUUUUCUGAACCAUUAAUUUUUAUUCCUUUUAUUUUUGGAUUAUUCCUUAUAAGGAUAGCUAAAAUUUCUGCACAUAGAAUGAAAAGAUAUAUAAUACCAUUUAUUAAUCGAAGGAGUGUUCAUUGAAAAUUUACUGACUGAAUAACAAACAGUGUAGACCAUGAUCAGUCUGCACGGACGUGCAGGCUGAUCUUGGUCUGUACUGGUCGCAAAGGCAGAAUCACUUGACGCCAGCAGGCUAAAGGUUAACGCGGUGGUUUCGCGGUAGUCAGAAAACCACCAAUAUUUCAGGUUCCUUACUAUCGUUUACAUGUUCUACGAAGAUUUCAAUCAUGAAUCAAAUGUUGAGUACGAAUGACCUCAAACAUUUUGUCUGCAUCCAAUCGCCCAAACCAACGACCUACUGAUUGAAAAUCUCGCAUUUUUUUAGCUAACCGAACAUGCGUAGCCUGAAUCUCACCGAGUUCAUUUCUACUUUAGUUCUUCUAAAAUACAUUAUUGAAAUAUAUUGAAAGCAAACUGUCUUUAAUCGAGCGUGCUUCUUACCAGCAGCCUACAUGUUGAGUUCUAGACUAAGAGCUACCAACACGAGAAUACCAAGGUCUUAUAAAUUCAGAAAUGUCACUAGCAGUAUUGUUUUAUUUCCCGACUUUAUACCAUAACAUUUGAAAUCACGGUGGUGAAAAUUAGAAAUAAAGAUGGUGAAAACUGGUAACUACGAUAUUAAAAGAGAAAAUCGCGAAACAAUCAGUACGAUGAUAAUUUCACAAUUUCAUCAUUAUGGUUUCCUUUUCCUUUUCUCAUCAUUUUAGUUACGAAUUUUAUCGUUGUAGUUUCUUCUGUUGUUUUCCUGUUGUAAAUGUCAUUCGCAUAUAUUUCUUCAAAAACAUGUAUGUACACACAGUAUUGCAGAGGGUUCACACCUCUUUAACCUGUACCCUGCUAAAUUUCUAAAAUGGACUGGCCCAUCAUUCAGUUUGGACAGUACCACUUAUUAUUCAAAAGGGGGUUCACUGAAAAUUUACUGACUGAAUAGCAAAAAGUGCAGACCAUGAUCAGCCUGCAAGGCAAAAUCAGUUGCCACCAGCAGGCUAAAGAUUAAAAGUCGUUUCAAUGCUUGGCGCUUCAUUUGCACGAUUGUGAGUAGGACCUACUUACCUUUUCAGAAUGCUAUGGUUGCAUGCAGUGCAAAUAAUAAUAUUAAAUUUACCCAGAUGUUGGUCUAUAGAUACAACUAUGCAUCACAUUUUACCUCGAUUAAAUACACAAGCACAAGGAAAUAAAGCCAAAACAGUGACUGUGAAGUUUGAACUGUGAUGUAUGUGCUAUGAUCUAUGAACUGUGAAGUAUGGAGUGUAAAUUGUGAAGUUUGAACUGAGAUGUAUGUGCUAGGAUCUAUGAAAUGUGAAGUAUGAAGUAUACAUUGUGAAGUUUGAACUGUGAUGCAUGUGCUAUGAUCUAUGAACUGUGAAGUAUGGCGUGUACAUUGUGAAGUUUGAACUGUGAUGUAUGUGCUAUGACCUAUGAACUGUGGAGUAUGAAAGGUGGAAUUAGUUAGAAAGCCGAGGACGACAACACUCUGGUGCAUUUAUCAGAGUUGUGUCCUUUUAUGUGCCUAGAUUAUAAGCAUUUUUUGGUUAUUUUUUUGUUUAGGUCAACUUUUUUAAUACUAUAGCUUUGAAACGAUGUACAUUUGUAAAUCAUCUAUAGGUGAGUAAAGUUAUCAAGAACUGUAACCCGUUCAUCCAUUACGUAAGGAUUAUGGCCCGCUUUUUGUAAAUAGGAAAUGAAAUGGUUUGUGGUUUCAAAAACCAGACUUUUGUAAGAUUUCCACGUGUCUUAUUUUUUUCUUUUAUUUUUAAAGACGUUUGUGGUAAUUUUUAUAUGCAUCAUUCUGUGCAUUCGGUAAUAUGUUAAGGAAAAUCCGUACAAAAGAAUGUUUAUCAAAUUAAAUUUGGUACCAAAUAAAGAUAAAAGGAUACCAUUGUGUUUCAUGUGGCCUCCGUGGCCGAGAGGUUAAGGUCGCUGACAUUGAAUCACUUGCCCUUCACAAAUGUGGGUUCAAGCCUCAUUUGGGGCGUUGAAUUCUCCAUGUGAGGAAGCCAUCCAGCUGGCUUACGGAAGGUCAGUGGUUCUACCCAAGUGCUCGGCCGUGAUGAAAUAAUGCACGGAGGGGCACCUGGGUCUUCAUCCACCAUCAAAGCUGUAAAGUCGCCAUAUGAUGUAUACAACUGUGUCUGUGCGACACUAAAUCCCCAACCCAAAAAGCUAUUGUGUUGCGUACCAAAUAAAUAUAUACAUAAAGACAAAUUAAUGAUAUUUUUUAUGAAGUUGCCAUGUUGUCUUGAAUAUGUCAUCAUUAUAAUUCUGAAGUUAUCGUUUAUUUGAAAAUAUUAUCAAACUACAAAAUGUAAUAUGAAUAUUUAUAUAAUCAAACUACAAAUGUCAUAUAUAUUUAUAUUUUUAAACGUAAGGUGAGAUAAACAGGUUAUUUUUGAGUUUGUGUAGAAAACGUACUCAAAUGAAAUAUUUAAAUUGAUCUUAUUGACAAUCUUUAAAUGGCAUGUAUUCUUACAAUUGAUUGAAAAAUCUACAGUAUAGUUUCAACAUGUUAUCUACAGCCAUGUUUUAUUUACUUAAUGCAUAGUACCUAUACUAUCUGAAGAAAAGGUUUUGGGAAGGGCCGUUUACAGAUGUUGCAAGAACUUGUGGCCCGACCCAUUUUUGGCUGUACAUGUACACUUAUUGAUAUAUGUUAUUAUAAAUGUGAAUAAUAAUAAGUAAUAAAAUACGAUUAAACUAAGAAAAGGUAGCGAUAUAAAUGUAAAUCAAAAAAUAUUUUCAAUGCAUUAUAAAACUGCGCGCAGUCUUUUAGUUCCAGACAGUACCGUGUCAUCUUUUGCCAAACAUAUUUCACAAAAUAUAAUAUGUCUUUCUAAUCAGUACAAGUGUUGGUUAUUUCUUUGUUGUUUAUUUUUGUCAAAUUAUGUUUAUUACUUACUAACAUAGUUUACUUACUCAAAUUCUGACUUUUAUUGCAUUUGUUAUUUUUACAAUGCCAGUAUUUCGAAAUUAAAAUUAAAACCAGUA
RNA transcript from Mercenaria mercenaria, 13093 nucleotides. RefSeq lists it as uncharacterized. The record is from RefSeq and is a predicted model, not a curated record. Lineage: Eukaryota; Metazoa; Mollusca; Bivalvia; Venerida; Veneridae. The transcript has 9 exons.